GGAAGAGUUGUGGUAAGAAGUGAAAUACAAAUCGGACUAGGAUAUAGCUGGUUUUCUGCGAAAUUUGUUUUAGCAAAUAGUUUAUAUAUUAUUAUUUGUAGGUAUAGCACUGAAUAUCUAAUAGGGAUAUGAAGAGGGAAUGUUAAAGCGUUUAUCUCAGGUAUUUAAUCUCAGAAUGACAAAUAUAAUGUAAGUAAAUAAUCGGACUAUUCGCGAUAAGGUGAAUAGUCAAGAGGGAAACAGCCCUGAACAGUAAUUAAGGUUCUUAAAUCAAUAUUCAGUGAAAAAAAGGAAGUUAUAUUUCUUAGACAGUCAAGAAG
RNAcentral lists this ribosomal RNA (320 nucleotides) under Pneumocystis carinii. RNAcentral describes it as "LSU rRNA". It matches the Rfam family "Bacterial large subunit ribosomal RNA", at positions 802 to 1100 of the family's 2925-position model. The record is from RNAcentral. Lineage: Eukaryota; Fungi; Ascomycota; Pneumocystomycetes; Pneumocystales; Pneumocystaceae.